RNAcentral lists this unclassified non-coding RNA (2878 nucleotides) under Hevea brasiliensis (rubber tree). The record is from RNAcentral. Lineage: Eukaryota; Viridiplantae; Streptophyta; Magnoliopsida; Malpighiales; Euphorbiaceae.
AAAAGUGCCAAUAUUCUGUCUUUUUUAAUCCUAUUUUCCGAUGCUUAUGGCUCAAAGAGAGUUGUUCUAAAGUCCAUAUUGUUCUGUUAAUUUCAACAUUGAAUUGCAGAGUAGCAGUUAUGGGGGCCUCAGAAUCCACUGUCUCGAGUUCGCAGCAGGCACUGGCCGAUGAGAUCACCACCGUUUCCGAGCGAUCGCAAGGCGUCGAUCCCAUUUUGGAAAGGCUUAAAUCCCUUCAAAUUUCAAGGCCAAUUCUGACGUCGCCUCCGACGGAGGAGGGCAGCUUGACUGACAUUUUGAUCAGGAAGCCGUCAUCUUCAUCAGCUCAUGGUAAGUCCCAGUCAAGCACUCGUCUUUCUCUUUUUCUGAGUUUGAAUUUAGGGUUUGAAAUGAGGAUUUUUUUUUUUUUUUUAUCCUGCUGCUCCCAUUCUCUUAUGUUUCAUCUCGAUUGACUUUGCUCGCUUUCCAAUCGUGUACCAGAAGUAGAAUUGCAACAAGAACAUCAAACAAAUUUUUAUUGUUGUUCCAGUGUGCUUAGGAAUAAUUUUAGGCUAUAGCAUGUGUUACGGAAUUGACAUAAAUGUAAAUAAAGCGUCAGUUUAACAUGGUUUUGAUUAUUAAUUUUAAGUCAUUUGUUUAAGGGUUUCAUUUUGCACCUAUGAAAUGAAACUGCUUUUCUUUUAACCAGUUAUUUCUUUGUUUACAGCUUAUGCACUGUGAUUGCUGCCACUACUAGGAUUUAAAACUAGGGGGCAACUGUAGUGUAAUAAUGGGAGUGGUAACUCUCUUUUGCGCUCAUGUUAACCAAGAACUUUAAAAAGUUCAUUUCAGUUCUGUCUCUCUUUAUAACACUUCCUGGUCUAAAAGCUAGGUACAUUUCAUAUUGGAGGAAUACAGAGAGUUAAUAAUGAAUCAUGCGCAUCGGAAGAAAAUCACUGAUCAUUAUACUUUUUUCAUCUAGUAUUUUUCCUUUCCUUUGAGUAAAAUUAAUGUUCCAGAAAGUUGAAUGAGUUGAAUGAUGGCUGUUUAAUUUGGUUUUCAUUUCAGUAUACAGUCUUAGUUCUUAUAUUGUUAUAUUAGUUAUUCAUUUAAAGUUUGUUGCUUUAUGUUUUUCAUCUCCUUUUAAAAGAAAACUUAUUUUUAUUGGCUGAUUUUUCUAUGUUCUUUACCUUUACUUUUCUUGUUUUAUUCUAAUUUUUCGAUGUGCUUUAUUCGUAAUGGUCAAUGUAGCUACUGUGAAUCCAAAGGUGCUACUGGAGCUCUUCUCAAUGUAUCGUGAAUGGCAGGACGAGAAGGCCCAACAGAUUAGCAAGAAACAGGUUUACCAUUUCUGUCAUAAAUGGAUAAAUGAUGUUUGCUGGAGAACAGUUUGUUAAUGGUAGUAAUGUUUUAUGCUUUGAAGAGGCAUGGGAUGGAUCAGAAGAUUGGGGGGCCUGUAUUAAUUCAUGUUCAACUUAAGAUCUGGAUUGGAUUCUGACACUAGGAUACACUUGCCUUGUGAACAUGGACAUUGAACUUAAGUCUAUUCUAAGGCAAGAAGAACUUAGAUAUGAACCAAGAUCACUUAUAAGAGCUUUUUAAAUUGGCUUCGCAACUAUUCAACUCUUACAUUUUGGUUGUAUUGAUGACCAAAUGAGACAAGUAAUAAGAUAUUGUGAUAGUGUCAGUAGGAUAAAAAUGUGUAGCGUCAGUUGCUCUUUAUAUCUAGUUAACAAAUAACAGUGUUCUGGUUUGGCUUCAACUACAUUCACACCUCAUUAGCUUGAUUCUUACAUAUAUCAAGAUCUGUUCCAUGGAGGACCUGAUUCAAGUGACAUAAGUUUGAGAAGCUUAUGAUUCAACCACCUAAACUUUUUUCCCUUUCUAUGAGUAGAUAUUAUAGUGCAAUAACAGGGUUAGUAUCUGCUGGAAAGAAGCUACUCACAAUAUCUGCUGGAAAGAAGCUACUUACAAACUGAAACAGUAAUCUAUUUUUGCAGUUAGCACAUGAAAAUUGGAAAGUCUAUGUUUGGAAAUCCUUUUAGUGGGUUGUUUUAUUUUGAAUUGGUAAUAGUUAUCAAGCAAUGCAAAAUUUUUGGCUAAUUAAUACUUUAGGAACUAGUAAUUAGGGUAUGUGCAAUAUAAUCUGCUGAAAACAUUGCAGGAAGAGAUUGAAAAUAAGAUAGAAGUUGCGGAUGCUUUGGCAACCAAACUUCAUCAACGGUUUAAUUACUCAGUGUCAGCAAUGAAGACUACUUCACAACAUCUUUCAGAAGGUAAUUGAUUGUGUAUCAAAUUGUUAUAGAUUAAUAAUAGAUUCUAUCAUCAACAUUCAGAAAAUUUUCCUGUCAACUUGGCUCACCACAGUUUGAUGAAGCCACUCUUGGUUUCACAACUUGUAUUUCACAACUUGUAUCAAGACGUUGUUUGCACUCACUUUGGAAAUGCCUGCAGUUCAUGCACUACAAGUGGAGAUUGGGGAGCUGAAAGGGAGGUUGACUGAGGUUAUCAGCAAUUGUGAUGCAUUGUGCAAAAGAAUUGCUAUGGAGGGGCCACAAUCUCUUCGGUCAUCUGUUAAGCCAUUUGCUGUUGCUACUGGUGACUCAGAUAUCAGCUGUAAACCAGCUUCCCAGUUAUAUCUAAAAAGAUCACCUUCGAACGAAAACAAAUCAGACUAACUUUCACAUUCUAACCCAUUCCAUUUGCUUGUAUAUAGUCAUUCCCUAACCCUUGCUGGUUCACUUUGGAAAUGAAGGAUGUAAAAUCCAUUUCAUUUCAAAUUAUUUUUAUAUAGAAGAAUUGUCACUUUUUAUAUCUUAUGUUUUCAAUAUAUAUUGAAUUCAUUUUAAAUUAUGAAACCAUUGUGAAAAUUUUAUAAAUGCUACAAUUUUUAGAUUUA